GCACAAGCGGUGGAGCAUGUGGUUUAAUUCGACGCAACGCGAAGAACCUUACCUGGGCUUGAACCGCUGGUAGUAGAAUCCUGGAAACAGGAGACGACCCGUAAAGUCGGAUGCCAGUAGAGGUGCUGCAUGGUUGUCGUCAGCUCGUGUCGUGAGAUGUUGGGUUAAGUCCCGCAACGAGCGCAACCCCUAUCCCAUGUUGCCAAUCCCGCAAGGGAUGCACUCUUGAGAGACUGCCUCGGAUAACGGGGAGGAAGGUGGGGACGACGUCAAAUCAUCAUGGCCUUUAUGUCCAGGGCAACACACGUGCUACAAUGGCCGGCACAAUAGGAUGCAAUACCGCAAGGUGGAGCAAACCCCUAAAGUCGGCCCCAGUUCAGAUUGUGGGCUGCAACUCGCCCACAUGAAGUCGGAAUCGCUAGUAAUCGCAGAUCAGCAGGCUGCGGUGAAUACGUUCCCGGGC
RNAcentral lists this ribosomal RNA (463 nucleotides) under uncultured bacterium. Its description in RNAcentral is "bacterial SSU rRNA". It matches the Rfam family "Bacterial small subunit ribosomal RNA", at positions 923 to 1379 of the family's 1533-position model. The record is from RNAcentral.